RNAcentral lists this long non-coding RNA (246 nucleotides) under Elaeis guineensis (African oil palm). Its description in RNAcentral is "long non-coding RNA (EGUI_LNC005932)". The record is from RNAcentral. Lineage: Eukaryota; Viridiplantae; Streptophyta; Magnoliopsida; Arecales; Arecaceae.
GGCCAAGUUUUAUUGUAUGGUGCCUGGGCAAGAUAAUGUAGAUGGUUUGAAACAAUUGCAAGGUGACGAGAAUGUAUCCCAUAUGUUCGAGGUACCUUACAUGGAAACAAGAUAAUGUGCCAAUGCAUGUGGAGCAUAGGGUGGGGGAGCAAUAUGAUCAGGAGGCAUUUUUUACUUAGAAGACAAUGUUGGAAGGAAUUCUUACAUAGGAGAGCAGAGCGCGCUUGAUGGGCAGCUUUUAGUGCC